Molecule: long non-coding RNA, 988 nt
Organism: Rosa rugosa (rugosa rose)
Lineage: Eukaryota; Viridiplantae; Streptophyta; Magnoliopsida; Rosales; Rosaceae
Exons: 2
Source: RefSeq, a predicted model, not a curated record
CAUUGGGCUUCCUUUUCCAAAUCCUUAGUUUGUCCGAUAUCACUUGAAGGCUUUGAGUUCAAUAGCCUCUGUAACCCACUUAUCGAUCUAUCGACGUGAACGGUGAACCCUUUCUUGUAUUGGGGAAGCCUUGCUACUCGCUAAGUCGCUCAGUAGUGUUCACCUGAUCAGUUGCUGACCAAAGAAUUUAUGGCAGCUUUGAUUCUUAAUAUAAGUCAGAUAAGUAUAUAGCUUUCUAGAUCACAACUGAGUGUCAAAAAAUUAAUGGCUUUAGGCUGCGUUUGGGGGGGGGGGGGCUUUUUUGCUCCUCUGCUUAUAAGCGCCUCUACAUCUCGCGUUUGGUAAACCAGUUUUUUCACUACUUUUUCCAGAAGCCAGCGCUUCUUCGAUUAAAAAGCCAAAGCCGCCAGUGACCUGCUUUUAGAAGCAGGAGAUGGCUUUUGUCACUGUAGUUUAAUGAACUUUUGGAAAUACCGAUUUCUAUCCUCUCUUCGUUUCAGCAAUUUCACAAUGCCAUGAAACCCUUCUCUUCCGUGUUCAAGUUCGAAGCCUCACACGCAGUGCCGCUUCAUGACUCUGGUUUGAUCUCUCUCUCUCUCUCUCACUGCCUUCACUUCACCUCUCAUCCGUGUUCGAAAUCGAAGCCUCAAUCCUUGAUUGAUGGCUGCUUGGCAAUUUGAUUCAAGGUACUUGAGCAUACUUGGGUUGGAUCAACACAGCAAGAGUUGCUGCAUUAGGUGGGGCUAGUAGUACAUCCAAGAGGAGAAGGAUUUCGUGCUUCUUAUCUUGAGAAGGUUGUGUAGGAAGUGAUUUCAAACUGUAGUGGAUAAGUUCUUUCACAACUAUUUUGUACCUUUUGUUAUAAGCCAUUUGACUUGUAGAGGCUGUUAAGAUUUACAAUUUACUUGUCUGAUUUUUUUUUUUCCUUCUUCGUAUUUAUUGUGUCUAACUUUUGAGAUCCAAAGAGAAAUAAAUUUAUUAUGUUCAA